This is a non-coding RNA of Camelina sativa (false flax), 238 nucleotides long. Lineage: Eukaryota; Viridiplantae; Streptophyta; Magnoliopsida; Brassicales; Brassicaceae. The record is from RefSeq and is a predicted model, not a curated record.
AUGAGAUUUUCAGUCUCCUUGCACUAUCAGCUCGUGCAAGUGCUGAUUCUUUUCGAUCUUCAAUUUCAAAUGAACUUAUGAUGAUAGUAAGGAAGCAGGUUAGUCAUCCAGACCUCAAGUACAAAAAGAUGGGCUUAGUUGGAACUCUUAGGAUUGUGUCGUCACUUGGGGAUGCAAAGAGUGUUCCUGACCUUCCAUCAUCACAGGUUUCAGAUUGUGGGGAGAUUUUGGAGCUCUU